This 745-nucleotide long non-coding RNA is filed under the name Bos taurus (domestic cattle). RNAcentral describes it as "long non-coding RNA NONBTAT017255". Lineage: Eukaryota; Metazoa; Chordata; Mammalia; Artiodactyla; Bovidae. The record is from RNAcentral.
GGGCCGUGUGCCACACCCACUGCACAUUAUUCCCACAACUCAUGAGAUGGGCGUCAUGACUCCCAAUUCACACAUAUGGGAGCCAAAACUUGGGCUCAAGUAGCCCAAAUAGCAACAGUCAAUGGCAUGAUUCCAAUCCAGGGAUCUCUACAGGUCCGUCGGUCACCAAAGCCAAGGACUCCCCAAGUACCCUGCUGCAGUUUAGCAGGUCAUCUGGUAACUGAAACAAUUAGACUUUGGGAAAUGGAGACUGGGGGACAAACUGGACUAAGUCCGACCAGUGCCCAGCAGGAUGACUGGGCUACUUGUCGCAUCUAGGGUACAUUCUGACUGCUCUGUGCCUGUGUCGAUUCAGUGUCCAAGUGCUUUUUAAGAUACCCCUGAGUCACAGAACUAUCCCUUAAACCAGCUGCAGGAUGGAGCAAAUGCAGGACGAACGCCCUCAGGCUGCAGUGUACGCUGUGGCCAGAGGAACUUUGACCCACUGGCACAGAGACUGUGUGACCAGUGGUUCAUACAGGGCCACUCGCUGCCGUGGACUCAGACUGCAAGAUGGUUGGCGGGGGUGCACUGAGUUUACCCUGAGGGAUGGGCAGCCCAUGGCCUGUGUCUCUGCAGUUACUUAGCAUGACCAGCUCACCACCAUCACACACCCAUGGGCUCCCGUCCCACAAGGACUCCAUGGAUGAUGAGACUUGGAUUUGAAUUUGUUGAAAUAAAUGCAUUCUUGCUUUGGUAUUUGCAA